CCGUGGGGGAAGCGGCGAACGGGUGAGUAACACGUGGGCAACCCACCCUUGGUACCGGGAUAGCCCGGGGAAACCCGGAUUAAUACCGGAUGGCCCAACAGCUCUUCGGGGCGGUUGGGAAAGAUAGCUUCGGCCUUCGACCAAGGACGGGCCCGCGGCGGAUUAGCUUGUUGGUGAGGUAACGGCCCACCAAGGCGACGAUCCGUAGCUGGUCUGAGAGGACGAUCAGCCACACUGGGACUGAGACACGGCCCAG
Molecule: ribosomal RNA, 256 nt
Filed under: uncultured bacterium
Lineage: Bacteria
Description: partial 16S ribosomal RNA
Rfam family: Bacterial small subunit ribosomal RNA
Source: RNAcentral